GCCAUCAUUUCCAAAGCCAAAUGCAAAUGUCCAUACUCCUACUCAAUCUCAAGGGUCUGCUGUUCACAUUGCCAUUCAUCCUGUUCUGUUUGUUCUUCCUCCUGUCCUAACUGUGAAUUUAUGUUAUUUCUCAUACAGCAUUUGAUCUAGAAACGUGAAAGCUAUUUGAGGUGUUUUUUCCUCCAUGGCUAUCACAAAUAAUAACGUGUGGUUUUAAAAAUUAUAUCUCCCAACUGCCUCAAAAGGCUAACUCUUCUUUAUUUCCAUAGCCAUUGUCCCUCAAAAGGCUAACUCUUCUUUAUUUCCAUAGCCAUUAUCCCUCUUCUGAUCACCUUGUUACAUUUCCCCCACGACCACAACCAACUUUUGUGAUCACCCUGCUUCUUGGAUUUGUCCAAACUGCAGAUAUGGUUAUGCCACCCCUGCUGUGGACUGAAUGUGUUCACCAAAAUUCAUAUUUGAAACUUAAUGGCCAAUGUGAUGAAAUUAAGAGAGCAUUCAUUUCUUCUGGAGGAUGCAGCAAGAAGGCAUCAUCUUGGAAGCAGAGAAUAGCCCUCAUCAGACACCAAACUUGCUGGAGCCUUGAUCUUGGACUUUACAUUCUCCAGAACAGUGAGCAAUAAAUUUUUAGUGUUUAUAAACUACCCAGUCUCAGGCAUUUUGUUAUAGCAGCUCAGACUAAGACAGACUAAGACAAUAUACAAUGCCUUAGUUUAAUACUUUAAUACUUUCAUGAAUAACAAUAGUAAAUAAAUGAAUACAAUUAUUUAAAUUAUGAGAUUGUUCAUUGUCUCAUUGUCUAGUCCUUACCUGUAUCUGUCUCUCUCCACAUUCUGAAAUCGACCUUGUGAUUUUUGCAUAAUUGUGUUAUACAUAACUGUAUACCCAGAUGUCCCUCAAUUUCAUAUAUAUGUUUACAAAAUAGACAUUUUAUCUUGCUCUUCUCUUUCCUUUUUAUUUGAUACUUUUCUUAUCUAUUAUUGGUUUAGCUAUUCCUAGUGGCCUAAAGAUGUAAUUUUAUUGCAAACAUCUGAACAACUCAAUAUAUUCUUCACACUCCCUGCUUACUUUAAAGCUUUAGUAUUUACACAGUUGGGGAUAUAUCUAUAUAGAAAUACUUAUCAGUGAAGUAAACCUUUUUUCCCUGAUGUUUCAUCUUAAUGGUAAAAUCAUCCUCCUGUUGCCAUUACACUCUUCAACUUAUGUAUAAGAAUUCUGUUAACUCUAAGCAGCAUGUUUAAAGUAGGUUAGUUCAAAGUUGUGAGAUGGUUGCACAUUUUCAGUAGGUCUAAAAAUUAAGUUCCACAUUGAAUUGUUUUAAAGCACUAUGGCAAACAUUAAAGUGUUUAAUUCAUUAUUGAAACACUUUCAUUACAGCAACAACAGUUUAACAUCCUGCAGUGGUAAUUCUAAAUGAAAAAUUAAGUAUAUAUUUGUGUUAGCUUAGGUGGUUUAUAUAUUCGAUGAUACAGUCUUGUUAUACAGGAUAUUGCUCUUCAGAGAGAGAGGCAUAUGCUUUCAAGUGAUUCAUUUAAAUGCAUCAAAUCAAUACAGAAUAUUUUUAGACUAAUUUUGUUUAAUUGAUUGAAGAUUUUUCAGAACUUUUUUUCCCAGGGAACUUUAGUACAACUAUGUCAGCACGAAUCAUGAAAAGAAUGCAUGAAUACAGUAAAGAGUUCCUAUUCAUUUUAAUUUUGAAAGAUCUAAACUUCAGGGGAAAAAUCCUUAAAACUACAAUAAAUAAUCAAGUAAAUGUAGGUAUACCAAUAAUACUGGAAAUGAAAUAGUAUUCCCCUUUUUGUUUUGU
Molecule: long non-coding RNA, 1807 nt
Filed under: Homo sapiens (human)
Lineage: Eukaryota; Metazoa; Chordata; Mammalia; Primates; Hominidae
Description: HSALNT0045273
Source: RNAcentral